Molecule: ribosomal RNA, 434 nt
Filed under: uncultured bacterium
Lineage: Bacteria
Description: partial 16S ribosomal RNA
Rfam family: Bacterial small subunit ribosomal RNA
Source: RNAcentral
AGCGAACGCUGGCGGCAGGCCUAACACAUGCAAGUCGAACGAACCUUUCGGGGCUAGUGGCGGACGGGUGAGUAACACGUGGGAACGUGCCCUUAGGUUCGGAAUAACUCAGGGCAACUUGUGCUAAUACCGCAUGUGCCCUUCGGGGGAAAGAUUUAUCGCCUUUAGAGCGGCCCGCGUCUGUUUAGCUAGUUGGUUGAGGUAAUGGCUCACCAAGGCGGCGAUCAGUAGCUGGUCUGAGAGGAUGAUCAGCCACAUUGGGACUGAGACACGGCCCAAACUCCUACGGGAGGCAGCAGUGGGGAAUCUUGCGCAAUGGGCGAAAGCCUGACGCAGCCAUGCCGCGUGAAUGAUGAAGGUCUUAGGAUUGUAAAAUUCUUUCACCGGAGACGAUAAUGACGGUACCCGGAGAAGAAGCCCCGGCUAACUUCGUG